CAGUCGCCGCGGUAAUACGUAGGGUGCAAGCGCUAAUCGGAAUUACUGGGCGUAAAGCGUGCGCAGGCGGUUAUAUAAGACAGAUGUGAAAUCCCCGGGCUCAACCUGGGAACUGCAUUUGUGACUGUAUAGCUAGAGUACGGCAGAGGGGGAUGGAAUUCCGCGUGUAGCAGUGAAAUGCGUAGAUAUGCGGAGGAACACCGAUGGCGAAGGCAAUCCCCUGGGCCUGUACUGACGCUCAUGCACGAAAGCGUGGGGAGCAAACAGGAUUAGAUACCCCCGUAGUCCCUGUCUCUUAUAC
RNAcentral lists this ribosomal RNA (301 nucleotides) under uncultured bacterium. RNAcentral describes it as "partial 16S ribosomal RNA". It matches the Rfam family "Bacterial small subunit ribosomal RNA", at positions 509 to 807 of the family's 1533-position model. The record is from RNAcentral.